This 1321-nucleotide long non-coding RNA is filed under the name Capsicum annuum. RNAcentral describes it as "long non-coding RNA (CANN_LNC009714)". Lineage: Eukaryota; Viridiplantae; Streptophyta; Magnoliopsida; Solanales; Solanaceae. The record is from RNAcentral.
GGAAGAUUGGAUAUUUGAAUUAUGAGGAAACAAUUACAAAAACUGUUCCACUUCUCCUUAUAUUCCAAAAAAUUUCAUUCUUCUUAUUCAGAGAAAGAGAGAGACAGUGAGACAGAAAAUUAAAAAACAGAGAAAAACAAGUAUCUCGAAAAGCAGUGAAUAAUUCAACACCACACCAAAGACAUUUUAGUUUGUGAAUCAAUACUCCAUUUUCUAGAGAGAUGAAGAUUGACUUGGGGUAAUUGUGUAAUAGCAAAUUCAACGACUUUCGCUGCAAUAGAUUAAGGUACACUCUAUUUUUAACUUCGAAUUUACUAUUAAUGACAUCAGAGACAGGUUUAUUGCCCCAUUCUUACACGUUAUUCUUCAAGUUUAAGAGAAAUUUGUGUAUGUACAUACCUGUGAGAAAAUCUUCAUAAUUAUUUAUAGCUCACCGGUUUAAUAAGAAAAAAGAAAUUGAAUGGAUCAGGGGAUUGAACCCAACGUGAAUAGAUCAAGUAACCUUCAGAUCUAGAAUCAGAUGUGCUCCAUUAAACCACGGAUCUUGUUGAUAAUCUAUUUCCUUUAUUUGUUUUUGUUGGUGGAAUAAAUAAGCAUAUGUUCUGUGAAAUAAAAAAAAAAAGAGGAACAAGAAGGAAUAAAUGGCGUGUAAAGAAGAUAAAGUGGAUCUGUGCCUUUGUCUUUUGACUUUAUCAAACUUGACAAAUAGAAGGAUUAAUUUUUUUUCGGAGUGUUAAAUACUAUAAAUGCAUUUUCUAGAAAAGUGUGCCUAGAGAAUAGUGCAAUUAAAAUUAGCUCUGUCUUUUAUAAUUUCACUUAUAUUUUCACUACUGUUUCAUUUUAUUUAUUUAAGAAUAGAUGUUUAGAAUCAUUAAAUGAACUUUUUAUAAUAUUAGUGGAAAUUGAUGAUUUUUUUAGGUCAUUUUUUGUCAUUAUUCAUAAAAGUGGAUUAAAUAAAUACUUGGUUGAAUCAGACUUGAUAUUUUUUUUUGCCUUAAUUAGUUCAUAAUAAUUUUAACAGAUUUUAUCUUCUACGAUGAAUUGUGACAUAAGUGUCAGAUUGAGUGGUAAAUUCAUUUUUAUUGUUUCUUGGUUCUUAUUUCAGAAAUGGCUGAACAGGGACAAACUUGAAUCACUCCAAGUGGGAGUUCUGGAUGUCGAGCAAAGAGACAAAGUGGAAGAACACGUCAUCGAAGGGCAUAUUUUUGAGGUCGUGAGAUCAUACAAAAUGAUGUCCCCAGGGCGACACUAAAUCAGUUAUGGAAUGAAAGGGCUAUACGAAGGGAAAGAGCAAAGAAAUUGAAAGAGUUCAAGUCUUUUA